RNAcentral lists this transfer RNA (74 nucleotides) under Tropheryma whipplei str. Twist. It matches the Rfam family "tRNA". From Rfam's summary of the family: Transfer RNA (tRNA) molecules are approximately 80 nucleotides in length. The record is from Rfam by way of RNAcentral. Lineage: Bacteria; Bacillati; Actinomycetota; Actinomycetes; Micrococcales; Tropherymataceae.
GGGGAUGUAGCUCAGUUAGGCAGAGCGCCUGCUUUGCAAGCAGGAGGUCGGGGGUUCGAUUCCCCUCAUCUCCA